UGUGUGUGUGUGUGUGUGUGUACCCAUAAAUAUUUCAUUGUUUUAUCAUGAUUUAGGUGAUUUGAAAUAUUAGAAACAUUUUUUUCUUAUUAUAAAUCCAAUAAAUUUUUAUAGCAUUGGCAUCCUCAGGAAAAAAAAAAAUGGUUUAACUAUACUUUAUUAUGACAUUUUUUGAAUAUACAGCAUUGGCCCCUUCAAAAUAUAUAAUCAAUGAGUGAAGUUAAUCAUUUUUCGAAUCAAUAUUAUAUAUAACAUUGGCGUCCUUAAAAAAUAUUUUUUGGCUUUGCCCUUGGCUGAUCAUGAUUUUGACAAUGGAAUGUCCUUUGAUUCUCAUAUGGCAUUCUUACGAUGGUGUCUGAAGCUUACUUUUGAGAAGUAUGAUGUUUUUGGGGUUCAUCAUCCAAAAGAUCUUUUUCUUUUUAUUAGCAACCAUGGCCUAUACUUUGGUUAUACCUAAUUUUACUGUGUUAUCAUGGCUAGGACUUUGCAUGUAAAAUUUAACAUGAAAUUGAAAAAAAUUAAGCAACAUGUAAUUAUAAAUUUAGUGGCUGACUAUUAAUAGCUUCGUUUUGACAUGUGUAUUCUUCUGCAAUGGCAAUAUUAGAAGCAAUAUACAUAUAAAUUUAUGCAUAAAUAGAUUCAAUGGCUUGGCUGCAAACUUACCUAAUAACUAAAGUAUACACUAUGAUUGCAAAUUGGAAAAUUAAAUUUUUUUUUGGUGAUUGUCUCUUCUUUUACUAUAGAAUAUGUAAUGCAUUUUUUUUAUUGAGUUUGGAA
This 777-nucleotide unclassified non-coding RNA is filed under the name Hevea brasiliensis (rubber tree). Lineage: Eukaryota; Viridiplantae; Streptophyta; Magnoliopsida; Malpighiales; Euphorbiaceae. The record is from RNAcentral.